RNAcentral lists this ribosomal RNA (253 nucleotides) under uncultured prokaryote. RNAcentral's name for it is "partial 16S ribosomal RNA". It matches the Rfam family "Bacterial small subunit ribosomal RNA", at positions 524 to 776 of the family's 1533-position model. The record is from RNAcentral.
UACGUAGGGGGCAAGCGUUGUUCGGAAUUACUGGGCGUAAAGCGCGUGUAGGCGGUCUGGCAAGUCAGAUGUGAAAGCCCCGGGCUCAACUUGGGAACUGCAUUUGAUACUGCCAAGCUAGAGUACGGGAGAGGAAAGUGGAAUUCCUGGUGUAGCGGUGAAAUGCGUAGAUAUCAGGAGGAACACCGGUGGUGUAGACGGCUUUCUGGACCGUAACUGACGCUGAGACACGAAAGCGUGGGUAGCAAACAGG